RNAcentral lists this transfer RNA (76 nucleotides) under Hankyongella ginsenosidimutans. RNAcentral describes it as "tRNA-Lys". It matches the Rfam family "tRNA". Rfam says of the family: Transfer RNA (tRNA) molecules are approximately 80 nucleotides in length. RNAcentral also lists the same sequence under 1 other name. Lineage: Bacteria; Pseudomonadati; Pseudomonadota; Alphaproteobacteria; Sphingomonadales; Sphingomonadaceae. The record is from RNAcentral.
GAUCCCAUAGCUCAGUCGGUAGAGCAACUGACUUUUAAUCAGUAGGCCGAUGGUUCGAGUCCAUCUGGGAUCACCA